CAGGGGAGGCCGCCGCUCGCCGCCGCACCGCGCCCGGCCCCGCAGGUGGGCGAGCCGCAGCGGGGUCCUCCGGGUCCCAAGAUGGCCGCCGCUGCCUGGCCCCCUCCUGCGGUUUGCUGCGCCGCGUGAGUACCUGGCAAGCUCCUACUGUGGUGCCUUGGAGUCGGGGAGGGGAUCUCAGCAAGAGGAUUUCUGCCCAUCUUGAACUGGACACGAGAUGACUUUGUUCUUUGGGUGACUACUGCUAGACAGACGCAUCCUGUUGUGAUAAAGGAGACCAGCUGGAUUUAGGACUGCGGCGUCGUGUUUGUGGGCUCGCAGCACCAGCCAGCAUGGGGGAGUGCAGUGCUUGCUCUGCCACUUACUCGGCUGCUGAGGAAAUUGGACACUAGUGGAAAUGGACAAGGAUGGAGCACAGAGGACACGGGGCCCUGCCAGGUGCCGUGCAGCAGCUGGUGUUGUGAAUCAGGCCGUCACCAGUCGGAGAACGGCUACUUCACAACACCAGGGUGGCACUGCACCACACUUCUACACCAGCCAGAGGAGCAGUGAGGGUCCCAGCAUGGGCACAGCCAGUGGAGCCCAGACCUGCUGAGGUAAUCAGGCGCUCUACUCCUGUUCAGGUAACCAACCUCCCAUAGAAGUCUGGAAUAGAAGUCAGGCCCCCUAAACAUCUCUGUGGGUCCAGUCCUUAGGCUCCUGUGUGCUGUGUGAAUUGGGAAGAGGUAUGGAAGGCAGUGGAGUGAGCAGUCUCUAUAUGCUAGGCACAUCUCCCAGCAGAGAUGGCUGUGGUCCCUGCCCUGCUGGAACACCUCAAUGCAUGCUUUCUAUAAAGGAUGCUGUGGCUACAUUCCUUGGAAAUGACACUAAAGCUGCCUGGUUCUGAUCUGUGGAAGCAGCUUCCUGCUCUGGAAUGCAGGACAGUGGGGGCUUCUCACUGGUGGGGCUUUUCCUUUCCUCCCAUCCCAAGUAAGACUGGCUGUGCGCUCCUGUGUGUUGGCCACCUGCUCUCCUGUCUGUCACGAACAUUUGCAUGGAUGUAAAGCUAAGAGGAGAAAUCAAAGAAAGUAGCAUAGAAGUGAUUAAGGAUUUUAUGAAAGUUUUUUCUUGUUAUCAUAACUCAAGCCAGUAGUAUAAACUACCUCAGUCUCAUCCUGGAUAUGUGAUGCUGGCAGGAAGAUAGAUGCAGGGGAGAGUCAGAAUUCACACGAGAGCAGAAAUAGCACGGGACAGUC
Molecule: long non-coding RNA, 1235 nt
Organism: Phasianus colchicus (ring-necked pheasant)
Lineage: Eukaryota; Metazoa; Chordata; Aves; Galliformes; Phasianidae
Source: RefSeq, a predicted model, not a curated record